RNAcentral lists this ribosomal RNA (1301 nucleotides) under Calcaritermes cf. nigriceps. RNAcentral's name for it is "16S ribosomal RNA". The stretch from base 864 to 1228 matches the Rfam family "Bacterial large subunit ribosomal RNA", at positions 2073 to 2647 of the family's 2925-position model. The record is from RNAcentral. Lineage: Eukaryota; Metazoa; Arthropoda; Insecta; Blattodea; Kalotermitidae.
UGAUGAUUUGAUUUAUGUUUAUGUUUAUGUGUCAUGUGUAAAAGGGUUGGUAAAUUAUUAUUUGGUCAUUGUAAGGUUAUUGAUUUGAUUAUUUUUAUUAUAGGUAAAUUGUACUGUAGAGGGUGUUUGAUUUUAUUUUUGGAAGUUGAUUUUAUUUGUUGUACCUUGUGUAUCAGGGUUUAUUAAUUUUUAUUAUGUAUUUUUAUUUCCCGAUUUCGGUAGAGCUACUUAUUUAUUUUAGUUGUUGUUUUAUCAACAUUAAUAAUAUUUUGGUGGGAGUGAUAUGUUAUUCGUUUCCGGGGGUAUCUGGUUUCUUGGGAAAUAAAUUUAAUUUACAUCUUUUAUUUAAUUGUUCUGUUUUUUUUUGGAGUUAUUUAAUUUGAGAUGAAUAUUUUGGGGGAUGAGCUUCAGGUUAAAUUUUUAUAAUUUCAUUGGUUUGGAUCUUUGUGGGCUUUAUGAUGGCUAGCAAUAUGAGUAUUUUAAAAUUUUACUUUUCUUUUAUAUUGAUUUAUUUGUUGUUUAAAUUUUUACUGGGACGUUUGGUGUGAUUUUGUACCCAUUGUGAUUAUGAUGUAAUUAGUAAAUUCUUUCUUUUUGUGAUCUUUAUUUUAUAUCUAGGUCUUAAAGAGGAACUAGGCAAGAGCUAUGUGCUCGCCUGUUUAACAAAAACAUCUCUUCUUGUUUAUAUAGGAAGUAGGACCUGCCCACUGAUUAAUUAAAGGGCCGCGGUAUUUUGACCGUGCAAAGGUAGCAUAAUCAUUAGUUCUUUAAUUGUGAACUGGUAUGAAUGGUUUGACGAGGCACUGACUGUCUUUUUUGGAUUAAGUUGAAUUUGAUUUUUAGGUAAGAAUACCUAAUUUUUUUUAUGGGACGAGAAGACCCUAUAGAGUUUCAUGAUUAUACGUCUUUUGAUGUUUGUUUGUUUAUUUUGAUGUUUUUUCAUUUUGUUGGGGUGAUGGGAAGAUAGGUUUAACUCUUCUUUGGUGUGGGACACUGAUUUGUGGAUAGUUGAUCCUUUAUUAUUGAUUAUAAGAUUAAAUUACCUUAGGGAUAACAGCGUAAUCUUUUUUGAGAGUUCUUAUCGACAAAAGGGUUUGCGACCUCGAUGUUGGAUUAAGAUGAAUUUUUGGUGUAGAGGCUUUAAUAUAUUAUUAGGUCUGUUCGACCUUUAAAAUCUUACAUGAUCUGAGUUCAAACCGGCGUGAGCCAGGUUGGUUUCUAUCUAUAAUUUUUUAUGAUUUCUUAGUACGAGAGGACCAGAAAUUUUGAAUAAUUCUAUUUAUUAUGUUUACUACUAAUUU